Monodelphis domestica (gray short-tailed opossum) is the source of this 73-nucleotide non-coding RNA. The record is from Rfam. NCBI's taxonomy places the organism in Eukaryota, Metazoa, Chordata, Mammalia, Didelphimorphia, Didelphidae.
GGCUGGGUAGCUCAGUGGAUUGAGAGCCAAGCCCUAGAGUGGGAGGUCCUAGGUUCGAAUCCAGUCUCAGCCA